AAAAUCUUUCAUUAGUGCAAAAAGCAAUGUUUUGAUAUUAGGCAGGGAAUCUAAAGUGCAAUUAUACAUGGAAAGGGUCUGCAAAGCAUAUUUUGGUCUCAAAGAGUACUCUAUUCUGUCAAAAUUUUUAUACCAAAAUUCGACAUCACAAAGUAAUUUAUCAUACGAUCCUGAUAAUUCAUAAAACUCUGAGAUCUUCUUAAUAUCCUCUCGCAUUUCAAGUGUAUUUAGACUCAACCGGCAAAAGAAAAUAAAAGCUGUUUAAAAUAAAAUUGUGACUAAUAAAUCUUUCAUUUAAUUGAAAUAAAAAUGUAUCAAUAAGGGGAGAAUCCUCAAUCGUAGAUGCAUCAAUAUUUAAGCGAUUGGACUAUCUAGAAACUACUAUAGUAACAGGCUGGUAUGAAGGCAAAAUGGGGGAAAAUUCGUUUUUUAAAAGAAUCAGUUCCUUUUCUAGGAUUUGCAAUAGAUGAAAAUGGCAUCCACACAGAGAAGGAAAAAAUAGAUGCUAUUCGAAGGAUACCAACACCUAAGAAUAUACACCAAUUGAGAUAUUUUUAGGACUUGAACGUUAUUUGCACAUUCGAUUUCAUCAUUAUGGUAAUAUAGGUAUUUGGAAUCAAGCUAAAUAUACCUCUUAAAAAUUACUCGUCAUAUUUUUUUACAAUAUUUUAGAUC
This is a long non-coding RNA of Gordionus sp. m RMFG-2023, 675 nucleotides long. RefSeq lists it as uncharacterized. The record is from RefSeq and is a predicted model, not a curated record. NCBI's taxonomy places the organism in Eukaryota, Metazoa, Nematomorpha, Gordioida, Chordodea, Parachordodidae. The transcript has 3 exons.